Molecule: ribosomal RNA, 575 nt
Filed under: uncultured Neocallimastigomycetes
Lineage: Eukaryota; Fungi; Neocallimastigomycota; Neocallimastigomycetes
Description: partial large subunit ribosomal RNA
Rfam family: Eukaryotic large subunit ribosomal RNA
Source: RNAcentral
CAUAGAGGGUGAGAAUCCCGUAUUUGACCAUUAUUUUCAGCUGUGUGAUACACUUUCAAAGAGUCGGAUUGUUUGGGAAUGCAGUCCAAAAUGGGUGGUAAAUUUCAUCUAAAGCUAAAUAUUGGCGAGAGACCGAUAGCGAACAAGUACCGUGAGGGAAAGAUGAAAAGAACUUUGAAAAGAGAGUUAAACAGUACGUGAAAUUGUCAAAAGGGAAGCGUUUGACACCAGUGUUGUUUUCUCGAAAAUCAAUUAAAAAAAGUUGGAUUUUGUGUUGUAUUGACCUUAACAGCUUGCUUCACUCUUUUCCUGCUUUUUUUAAUGCACUUUUCGUUUAACAAGUCAACAUCAGUUUCUUUUGUUGUAAAAGGGUCAUUGGAAGGUGGCUUUCUCUUCGGAGAAAGUGUUUAUAGCCUUUGAUCUCUGCAAUCGGAGAGACUGAGGUCUGCAGCGUAGAUCCUUCGGGGUUAGAUACAUUUGUGCUAAGCUACAACUUUUCAUAGACAACUUGUUGACUAUGUUUAGUCUUGUGACUUACCCGCUUAUGCUAUUUUACCUACGCUUAGGAUGUUGAA